This 326-nucleotide ribosomal RNA is filed under the name uncultured Omnitrophica bacterium. Its description in RNAcentral is "bacterial SSU rRNA". It matches the Rfam family "Bacterial small subunit ribosomal RNA", at positions 29 to 351 of the family's 1533-position model. The record is from RNAcentral. Lineage: Bacteria; Pseudomonadati; Candidatus Omnitrophota.
AGUGAACGCUGGCGGCGUGGAUUAGGCAUGCAAGUCGAACGAUACCGUAAGGUAUAGUGGCAAAAGGGCGAGUAACACGUGAGAAAUCUACCUUUGAGCGGGGAAUAACCUUGGGAAACCAUGGCUAAAACCGCAUAAGACCACGACAGGGCAUCCUGUUGUGAUCGAAAAGGGGGACCGCAAGGCCUCCUGCUCGAAGAUGAUCUCGCGUCCUAUCAGCUUGUUGGCGGGUAAUGGCCCACCAAGGCUUUGACGGGUAGCUGGACUGAGAGGUUGGUCAGCCGCAUUCGGGACUGAGACACUGCCCAGACACCUACGGGAGGCAG